This is a non-coding RNA of Lonchura striata (white-rumped munia), 571 nucleotides long. The record is from RefSeq and is a predicted model, not a curated record. Lineage: Eukaryota; Metazoa; Chordata; Aves; Passeriformes; Estrildidae.
UAUCUAUGUUGUCUUAUAUUGUUUGUGCUUAUACUGUAUGUACCUACGUUGGCUUAUGUUGUUUGUGCUUAUACUGCAUGUACCUACGUUGCCUUAUGUUGUAUACACCUCUGUUGUGCCAAUUAUGAUCGGAGCUGCCUUGCCCGGGCACGUAGUCACGCUUAGGUAGAGCAGUUAUAAAGCUUUGCCGUUCAUCUGUUCUCUACGGGGUUUGGGGUACAACACUGAUGGGCCCAGAGCUGGUAUAGCUCCUAGCUCUCAGAUAGUCAGUCACUGACCGCCUCCCCUUGUCUCGUAGGUCCCCGGGUCCCUACAGAAUUUCCUGGAAUCUACCAUUUGACAUGGAGGUCCUGCGGUCAGAAGAAGCGUUUAAGCAUAUUCUUCAGUGCAGCAUUUCACGGGGGGUUUUCAUCAGGCAGGAGGAUUUUUUGGGAGUCUCCGGAGCGAGUUGCCGUGAAUGUGAGUUUGUGCGUAACGCGAAGGGGGCGUGCACGUCAGCGGAGCGUUCUGCGCCGUUUUUGUUCCGGGUGCAUCAUAACAAUAAAAGCGUUGUGGACUUUUCUGAAAUGGA